This is an RNA transcript of Rhipicephalus microplus (southern cattle tick), 847 nucleotides long. RefSeq lists it as uncharacterized. The record is from RefSeq and is a predicted model, not a curated record. Lineage: Eukaryota; Metazoa; Arthropoda; Arachnida; Ixodida; Ixodidae.
GUGUGCAGAACCUUGGUCAGACUGAUGCGCGGCACAUCCUCUGCGUCACAAUGCAUUUACACAAGGAAAUCUUGCUAAUCUUCCUAUUGCUAGGACUGGCAUAUGGAAGCUCAGUGUCCGUGUACAACUAAGCAAGGCGUUCGGCGGCAGCAACGGGUUCCACCUGACCACUCCUCACGCUGCAUGAUCGGGAACCACAGCUGAAUCGUAUACGAAUACAUUCACAAGAGUUCUGCGGCUGGGAACGAAGUACUUGAAACUGGAUCCCAUGGCUUUACCUAACCAAGUCCUGGACUUCUCCCUUUUCGGCAGAGUUUUACUGCUUGAAGGAUCAGUGUCAGGCCUCAGCUCAAUCAGACAGACAGGCACAAACCUAAUUAGGGCAGAAAAUGGCACCUUCAGCGCUAGCAUAGACCUCGGCACCGAGCAACUGCACGUCAACUACACUGCCCUGAUAACGGCCGCCAAAUUUAGUCACUUGGUUGCGUAUUUGUCGGCCUUCGUUAGGAUGACCAGGAUGGCUCUUGUUAUCAGUGAGACAGAUGCUGGUGAACUUCAACUCAUUCGGUUUCAAUUAAUAAAUUUUGAUGGACUGGAAGUUACCCUUGAUGCUCUAAAGCAUGGUGACUAUCUGAUUAACGCCAUUAUACGGAAUGCUUUAAAAAUGUUCAGAAGCACUUUGAAGGCUAAAACUGAAGAAACAAUUGUGCGAGAAAUUCGAUCUUCUCUUAACUACCUGAACAAACUUUUGUCUUAAAGUGCUUUUCCUAAAAACAUACCUCUUCUAAUGUGAUAAUUGCUGACUGUUACAUUGGUUGAAUCAAUAAACAUAAGCCACAAGACCAAA